UGGGGAAUAUUGCACAAUGGAGGGAACUCUGAUGCAGCGACGCCGCGUGAACGAAGAAGGCUUUCGAGUCGUAAAGUUCUUUUAUAUGGGAAGAUAAUGACGGUACCAUAAGAAAAAGCCCCGGCUAACUACGUGCCAGCAGCCGCGGUAAUACGUAGGGGGCUAGCGUUGUCCGGAAUCACUGGGCGUAAAGGGUUCGCAGGCGAAAAUGCAAGUCAGGUGUAAAAGGCAGUAGCUUAACUACUGUAAGCAUUUGAAACUGCAUAUCUUGAGAAGAGUAGAGGUAAGUGGAAUUUUUAGUGUAGCGGUGAAAUGCGUAGAUAUUAAAAAGAAUACCGGUGGCGAAGGCGACUUACUGGGCUCAUUCUGACGCUGAGGAACGAAAGCGUGGGUAGCAAACAGG
This 403-nucleotide ribosomal RNA is filed under the name bacterium. Its description in RNAcentral is "partial 16S ribosomal RNA". It matches the Rfam family "Bacterial small subunit ribosomal RNA", at positions 355 to 776 of the family's 1533-position model. The record is from RNAcentral. RNAcentral also lists the same sequence under 2 other names.